UGAGGAAUAUUGGACAAUGGGCGCAAGCCUGAUCCAGCCAUGCCGCGUGCAGGAAGAAGCAUCUAUGGUGUGUAAACUGCUUUUGUACGGGAAGAAACACUCCUACGUGUAGGAGCUUGACGGUACCGUAAGAAUAAGGAUCGGCUAACUCCGUGCCAGCAGCCGCGGUAGUACGGAGGAUCCAAGCGUUAUCCGGAAUCAUUGGGUUUAAAGGGUCCGUAGGCGGUUUAAUAAGUCAGUGGUGAAAGCCCAUCGCUCAACGAUGGAACGGCCAUUGAUACUGCUAGACUUGAAUUACAAGGAAGUAGCUAGAAUAUGUAGUGUAGCGGUGAAAUGCUUAGAUAUUACAUGGAAUACCAAUUGCGAAGGCAGGUUACUACUUGUGGAUUGACGCUGAUGGACGAAAGCGUGGGGAGCGAACA
This 422-nucleotide ribosomal RNA is filed under the name uncultured bacterium. RNAcentral's name for it is "bacterial SSU rRNA". It matches the Rfam family "Bacterial small subunit ribosomal RNA", at positions 355 to 774 of the family's 1533-position model. The record is from RNAcentral.